UACGGAGGGUGCGAGCGUUGUCCGGAUUUAUUGGGUUUAAAGGGUGCGUAGGUGGCUGAUUAAGUCAGUGGUGAAAUACAGCCGCUCAACGGUUGAGGUGCCAUUGAUACUGAAUAGCUUGAAAGAAUUGGAGGCUGCCGGAAUGGAUGGUGUAGCGGUGAAAUGCAUAGAUAUCAUCCAGAACACCGAUUGCGAAGGCAGGUGGCUACGAUUUAUUUGACACUGAGGCACGAAAGCAUGGGGAGCAAACAGG
RNAcentral lists this ribosomal RNA (253 nucleotides) under uncultured bacterium. RNAcentral's name for it is "partial 16S ribosomal RNA". It matches the Rfam family "Bacterial small subunit ribosomal RNA", at positions 524 to 776 of the family's 1533-position model. The record is from RNAcentral.